This 426-nucleotide ribosomal RNA is filed under the name uncultured prokaryote. RNAcentral's name for it is "bacterial SSU rRNA". It matches the Rfam family "Bacterial small subunit ribosomal RNA", at positions 355 to 774 of the family's 1533-position model. The record is from RNAcentral.
UGGGGAAUUUUGCGCAAUGGGCGAAAGCCUGACGCAGCAACGCCGCGUGUGUGAUGAAGGUCUUUGGAUUGUAAAGCACUUUCGACCGGGACGAAAACCCGGAGGCUAACAUCCUCCGGCUUGACGGUACCGGGAGAAGAAGCACCGGCUAACUCUGUGCCAGCAGCCGCGGUAAUACAGAGGGUGCAAGCGUUGUUCGGAAUUAUUGGGCGUAAAGCGCGUGUAGGCGGCUUUGCAAGUCGGGUGUGAAAGCCCUCAGCUCAACUGAGGAAGUGCGCCCGAAACUGCAGAGCUUGAGUGCCGGAGAGGGUGGCGGAAUUCCCCAAGUAGAGGUGAAAUUCGUAGAUAUGGGGAGGAACACCGGUGGCGAAGGCGGCCACCUGGACGGUAACUGACGCUGAGACGCGAAAGCGUGGGUAGCAAACA